RNAcentral lists this ribosomal RNA (636 nucleotides) under Aspergillus ochraceus. RNAcentral's name for it is "eukaryotic LSU rRNA". It matches the Rfam family "Eukaryotic large subunit ribosomal RNA", at positions 1 to 649 of the family's 3401-position model. RNAcentral also lists the same sequence under 4 other names. The record is from RNAcentral. Lineage: Eukaryota; Fungi; Ascomycota; Eurotiomycetes; Eurotiales; Aspergillaceae.
GGUUGACCUCGGAUCAGGUAGGGAUACCCGCUGAACUUAAGCAUAUCAAUAAGCGGAGGAAAAGAAACCAACCGGGAUUGCCUCAGUAACGGCGAGUGAAGCGGCAAGAGCUCAAAUUUGAAAUCUGGCCCCCUCGGGGUCCGAGUUGUAAUUUGCAGAGGAUGCUUCGGGUGCGGCCCCCGUCUAAGUGCCCUGGAACGGGCCGUCAUAGAGGGUGAGAAUCCCGUCUGGGACGGGGUGUCCGCGUCCGUGUGAAGCUCCUUCGACGAGUCGAGUUGUUUGGGAAUGCAGCUCUAAAUGGGUGGUAAAUUUCAUCUAAAGCUAAAUACUGGCCGGAGACCGAUAGCGCACAAGUAGAGUGAUCGAAAGAUGAAAAGCACUUUGAAAAGAGAGUUAAAAAGCACGUGAAAUUGUUGAAAGGGAAGCGCUUGCGACCAGACUCGCCCGCGGGGUUCAGCCGGCAUUCGUGCCGGUGUACUUCCCCGCGGGCGGGCCAGCGUCGGUUUGGGCGGCCGGUCAAAGGCCCCCGGAAUGUAGCACCCUUCGGGGUGCCUUAUAGCCGGGGGUGCAAUGCGGCCAGCCUGGACCGAGGAACGCGCUUCGGCACGGACGCUGGCAUAAUGGUCGUAAACGACC